GGAGAUGUAGCUUAGUGGCAGAGCACCUUCUUGGCAUGGAUGAGGUCCUGGGUUCAUCCUCAGCAUCACAG
RNAcentral lists this transfer RNA (71 nucleotides) under Mus musculus (house mouse). It matches the Rfam family "tRNA". Rfam says of the family: Transfer RNA (tRNA) molecules are approximately 80 nucleotides in length. Their secondary structure includes four short double-helical elements and three loops (D, anti-codon, and T loops). The record is from Rfam by way of RNAcentral. Lineage: Eukaryota; Metazoa; Chordata; Mammalia; Rodentia; Muridae.